Molecule: transfer RNA, 54 nt
Filed under: Phytophthora syringae
Lineage: Eukaryota; Oomycota; Peronosporomycetes; Peronosporales; Peronosporaceae
Also listed under: 1 other name
Description: partial tRNA-Gln
Rfam family: tRNA
About the family: Transfer RNA (tRNA) molecules are approximately 80 nucleotides in length.
Source: RNAcentral
UGAAGUAUGGCCAAGUGGUAAGGCAUCCGUUUUUGGUACGGAAAAUCAAAGGUU